This 424-nucleotide ribosomal RNA is filed under the name Streptococcus mitis. Its description in RNAcentral is "bacterial SSU rRNA". It matches the Rfam family "Bacterial small subunit ribosomal RNA", at positions 43 to 458 of the family's 1533-position model. The record is from RNAcentral. Lineage: Bacteria; Bacillati; Bacillota; Bacilli; Lactobacillales; Streptococcaceae.
CGUGCCUAAUACAUGGCAAGUAAGAACCCUGAAGGGGGAGCUUCCUUCUCUGGAUGAGUUUGCGAACGGGUGAGUAACGCGUAGGUAACCUGCCUGGUAGCGGGGGAUAACAUUGGAAACGAUAGCUAAUACCGCAUAAUAGCAGUUAUUGCAUGAUAACUGUUUUGAAAAGGGCAAUUGCACCACUACCAGAUGGACCUGCGUUAUUAGCUAGUUGGUGGGGUAACGGCUCACCAAGGCAACGAUACAUAGCCGACCUGAGAGGGUGAUCGGCCACACUGGGACUGAGACACGGCCCAGAUCUCUACGGGAGGCAGCAGUAGGGAAUCUUCGGCAAUGGACGGAAGUCUGACCGAGCAACGCCGCGUGAGUGAAGAAGGUUUUCGGAUCGUAAAGCUCUGAUGUAAGAGAAGAACGAGUGUGA